This is a long non-coding RNA of Tripterygium wilfordii, 857 nucleotides long. RefSeq lists it as uncharacterized. NCBI's taxonomy places the organism in Eukaryota, Viridiplantae, Streptophyta, Magnoliopsida, Celastrales, Celastraceae. The transcript has 5 exons. The record is from RefSeq and is a predicted model, not a curated record.
UGUCCAGGCGUCAACUUCUAUAACCACUCCAGUAAAGCAAGUCAUCAAUCCCCAAAUCGGCCAUGUUGACAAAUAGAGGACUCAAUACCAAAACAAGGAAGAAAAUCCAUGAGUCCAUCGAGAACGCUCUUUGACCGUGCCUACAAAAUUGACGAGAAGUGAAGAGAACUGCUUAGGAUGAGAAGAGUUCAGUGUCUGAGGUUAGAAAUACGUCGAUGCAAAUAGCUGGUGCAGCGGAUCUUCAACAAUGCCAACAUUGAGUUUUUGGAAUUUUUAAGUUUUGAACUUUUUUUGGCACUUGGAGUUCAAUAUUUCCUAAAUGCAAUUGUAUUCUUAGACAUACAGAAGCAGAUGUACAUGUCAUGGUGUCACAGUUACAUAUGCAUGCACCAGUCUCCUAACCAAAACCCUACGUGCACAUGCUAUGGAGGUGUUAAAAUUCUGAAACAAAGUAUUUGAAAGACGAUGAAACCAGGCUUACAAUUUCCAUUUUCACAAGCACGCAGUUUGACAGUAGCUACAAGAAUUGGCGAGAAGUUAAGUUGGUUUAGUGUCAAGCAGAGAGCCUGCCGAGGAUGAGUAGAGUCCAGUGUCUGAUGUUAGAGGUGCAUCGACGCUGAUAGCUGUGAGGAGUUUUGCUUAAGCCAUCCAAAAGUCUUGUGAUUACUUUCUACGAGCAAGAAGUUUAUUGCUAAAUUUUUAUUCUAUGUGAUAGAUUACAUGUCUUCCCCAAUCCUCCUUUUGUUCUACGGCUUCCAGAAGCAUCUCUCUCGCGCUCGCCCUUGUUUAGUUGGUCGUUCUCCACCUUAAAAAGUUAGGCCUUGUUCAUGGGUCUCCAUCUUUGAGCUUGUUGGUUU